RNAcentral lists this ribosomal RNA (429 nucleotides) under Bacteroidota bacterium. Its description in RNAcentral is "Bacteroidetes bacterium partial 16S ribosomal RNA". It matches the Rfam family "Bacterial small subunit ribosomal RNA", at positions 355 to 776 of the family's 1533-position model. The record is from RNAcentral. Lineage: Bacteria; Pseudomonadati; Bacteroidota.
UAGGGAAUCUUCGGCAAUGGGGGGAACCCUGACCGAGCAACGCCGCGUGAGUGAAGAAGGUUUUCGGAUCGUAAAGCUCUGUUGUUAAGGAAGAACGAGUGUGAGAAUGGAAAGUUCAUACUGUGACGGUACUUAACCAGAAAGGGACGGCUAACUACGUGCCAGCAGCCGCGGUAAUACGUAGGUCCCGAGCGUUGUCCGGAUUUAUUGGGCGUAAAGCGAGCGCAGGCGGUUAGAUAAGUCUGAAGUUAAAGGCAGUGGCUCAACCAUUGUAGGCUUUGGAAACUGUUUAACUUAGGUGCAGAAGGGGAGAGUGGAAUUCCAUGUGUAGCGGUGAAAUACGUAGAUAUAUGGAGGAACACCGGUGACGAAGGCGGCUCUCUGGUCUGUAACUGACGCUGAGGCUCGAAAGCGUGGGGAGCGAACAGG